RNAcentral lists this unclassified non-coding RNA (324 nucleotides) under rhizosphere metagenome. Its description in RNAcentral is "partial ribosomal RNA internal transcribed spacer region". The record is from RNAcentral.
GUAGGUGAACCUGCGGAAGGAUCAUUAACUAGUAUUGAAGUCCACGGGGAUCAGGCUUUCCGAAAGGAGGGUGGGGGGAUGUUUGGUUCCCCCUGCUUGGGCAGACUGGAGAGCAUGGUGUAACCACAUUUUGUGGCGUAAUUAUGUUUGGCCUCUGCUGAUCGAGCUUGUCACCUGAAUUCUACUACCCUUGCUUUUUGCGCACCCAUUGUUUCCUCGGCAGGCUUGCCUGCCAGUAGGACCCUUUAAAACCCUUUGUAAUUGCAAUCAGCGUCAGAAACAACGUAAUCGUUACAACUUUCAACAACGGAUCUCUUGGUUCUG